This 34-nucleotide ribosomal RNA is filed under the name Laccaria angustilamella. RNAcentral describes it as "partial 28S ribosomal RNA". Lineage: Eukaryota; Fungi; Basidiomycota; Agaricomycetes; Agaricales; Hydnangiaceae. The record is from RNAcentral.
CCAUUGACUUGGACAAUUUUUGACAAAUUUGACC